Molecule: non-coding RNA, 356 nt
Organism: Pelobates cultripes (western spadefoot toad)
Lineage: Eukaryota; Metazoa; Chordata; Amphibia; Anura; Pelobatidae
Source: the annotation of a GenBank genome assembly
CUCUGUCAUUUUGCAAAGACCCCAGAUUAGGACUAGUUCGCUUCCAGUGCAAGGUAGUUUUAACUUACCUGAACAUGUCCCUCGCGGCCAACGCCAUUUUCUACUGCAAGGUCCUCUUCAGCUCCUGGCGCUUAGUCUGCAAGGAGCGGAUGUCCAUGGAGGAUCCCUCAGCCAUCACUAGUGACGGCUGAUGGCUUGACUGCGGUAGCUCCGCCUUUGUCAAGCAUAGGAAAAAUACAUAAGACUAAGUAGUCCAGCCCUGGUUUGUCUUAUGAGAUAUUUUGACUGGGUUGGAAUUUCAAUCUUUAUGCCCUUCUAGUCUGAUCUCUGAGGUGAAGAGGCAGCUCAGAAUGGUC